RNAcentral lists this long non-coding RNA (1156 nucleotides) under Vitis vinifera (wine grape). Its description in RNAcentral is "long non-coding RNA (VVIN_LNC003212)". The record is from RNAcentral. Lineage: Eukaryota; Viridiplantae; Streptophyta; Magnoliopsida; Vitales; Vitaceae.
CUCUCUAUUUUCUAUAUACAAACAAAACCUAGCUAAAAACAUUCAAUUAAAAUAAUAUACAAACUUAAAUUGAAAAGUACAACACUAUCUUCAUAAGAGGUGAUCUUUGUUUCUGCAUCAUUGUCUUCUUCUUAAUGUAUUUCUCAGAUACCUAGUAGAAUAAACACAAAAUUAAUAUAAAAUUAAGUAACAAAUACCAAAAAAUUAAAAGAUUUUUUUUUUCAUAGGACAGUAAAUAUACUAACCUUCAAUAUCACAAAGAUAAAAUAAAUACACCUAUUGAUCUUUAAUAUCAUCAAUUGUAAUUGAAUUGAUUUUGUGAUUCUAGAUUCAAUGUAAACACGGUGGAUAUUCAAACUCGCACAUCCUCCAGGAUGAAGCCUCAUCCAUACUUAUCUCUUGCUUGAAGCCCAAUCAAUGGUGAACCAUGACCUCAACAAUCCUAAGGUUCAGCAAAACUCCAUGGCUCUCAAAGAACCAACCUGCUUAUGUGUGCCUGAUACUCUUAUUAUUGGGCUCAACCAAAUGAAACACAAGGCCCAAGUAAUAAAAUAUUAUAACAUCAAACCCAUGCACCUAAUAUUUGAAGCCCAGUCAUAAAGCAAAUGAGACCCAAGCCCAUAUAAAAAUUAAAUUAAAACUACCUCAACAAGUACUGUAGAGAUCCAAGGAAACUUACCUACGUCUCUUGAAGCCCUAAGAUGAAGAACGAAGUGGCAACCAGGGAGAUAGUGGUGUUGAUCUCAGUCCAACAAAAUUCAAUGGGUAAUGCAGGAGGUACCAAGGUUGUGGGCUGCAACAAUGGUGGCUAUGAUGGUGAUGGAACAUCAAGAAUCGCAUCGGGGCUAUGGCGAAACAAUUGCAACUGUGUCGAGACUGUGGUGAACCAUCGGGAAGCACGUUUGAGUUGUAGUGAACAUGGGAACAAUAGCCAUGGGGGGAAUAUAAAGAUGGUGGCAUGGUGGGUGUGGGACUCAUGGAUGGUAACAACAAGGGAGAUGGAGGGGGUGGCGUAGAGGCUGCCAUGAAUAUGAGGAUGGGAGGAUGAAAAAAGAAAGAAGAAAGAAGAAGAAAGAAGAAGAAAGAAGAAAAAAAAUAGGAAAAGAAGAGAAAAAGGAAGAUGGGGAAUAUGGGGCGGCUGUAAAUGGAAGGAAAU